GUUAUUUGUAGACUCAUCAUUAAAUGCUGUUUUCCAGGGAAGAGAGAGCUGAGAAUGGCUCAAACUGUUGAAACUACAAAUAAACCUUUUAAAACAGAUCCCAGGUGGAAUGAAUAAAGUCCUGUGUGCUUGAGUUUGCUGGGAAGCUGUAGUGGAAAUGCUAAGUCAUAGCCUGAACCAGUGAUUGAGCACCUGGUGGGAAGACAGUACCAACCCAGGGGAACUCAUGUGUAUGCAAUCCACCUGAGUGACUGGAAGGAGUGGAGCUAGGAUCAGCUCCUUCCCAGACUUUGCUUAAGGGUUGGCAGUGCCUCCUUGAAGGGUUCCGAAGUUUCAGCAUGGUCUGCUGGAGUGGGAACAAGUAGGACAAGAAUGCAAGAGAAGUAGCGAUGUACAGAACCAAUAUUAUUGCCAAACACUUCAUGAUAUCAAGAAGAAUCAGCACAACCUGUUUGAUCCUGCUCCAUACCUCACAAGCCCAGAGGCCUCUCUCAUGUACCUCCCAGUCAUUUCUUCUGUACCUUGAAGAUACCUGUUCUACUUGGUAAGAAACUGAGCUGCUGGGCAGAUCUUGUAAAGGACUUGUGCUAUUUUUGUCUAUGGCCUUACCCUCAGACUCCAGUGUGUCUUGUUGCAUCCUGUAGUCAUGAAUGAAAGCCUCCAGCUUGCUUAGAGCCCGAGUUCCAGCUCUAACGCUGCAAGCAUCACGCUUUGACAGAGUUAUGGGGAUAUAAAUAAUAGCCUGCACUCCAGUCUCAGGGAGGAACUGUUCCUAACCAUGCCGUACUCGCACAAGCCAUUCCUGGAAGCCUCUUCACUUUCCCAUCUUCCCUUGCACCUCCCUAACUUUGCUACUAACCCAUACUCCGAGCUUCAUUUCCAGGGUCUUGUGAGGUUAUUCAUGUCUACAACCUGCUUUUUGUAGGCAAACUUGUGAAGGCUUUGGCUGCAGCCAGUACCUUAUCCCUUUUUUCUCAUUGUGUUAGCAUGUAAGCCCCUUGUAAGUGCCCAGAGAAACCAGGAACUUGCCAGCUGCCUAAGUCUUGCUGAGUACCCGUUGGAAGCAUGGCGUGCUCACUUCUGGCUGUGUGUCACUGUGACCUCCUAGCACGCCAUCCAAAAUAACCUUGUGCAUGCAACCAGGAAUAGAAAGAAAGGAAGGAUGCAUUUUAUGUAAAUGUAGUCAGAAAGUCUGCAAGACAAAUUGCUUGAAGUGGUUUGAAAGAUAAAGAAAAAUGACUCAUUUCCAGAAGGAACUAUUUCUGCUGGGCUGAGAGGAGUACUGUGCCUUAGACAGGUAUGUGGUUGCCAUUACAAAAGGUGAAUUUUUCUUGUCAUGUGGGUGGACUGGAGGUUGACUGGUUCAACAUACUGUCCAAUGGGCAUGCAGGUGAGGUAUGCUUUCUAACACUGACAGAACUCUGCAGCUGGAGAAUUUAUCAGUUUGCCAGCAGUGUGGUUUUACACACAGCUUUUGCAAUAAGUGCCACUGUGUUCUCAAUAGAACAUGAACCUAUGAGGCACAUGUUCCCAGGCAAGCAGACUGGCAGCCCAACUAAUUUCGAGUAACAGUAUAUUUAAUUAAAUGGUCUUUCUGUCAUGAAGCCAAUGGGCAGCUGUGCAGAGGAUGGAGUGACAGUGGCCAGCCCAGGCAGCCUUGUCCCAGCGAGCACCAGCAGAAAUUUCCUGUACCCCUGGGCCAUCAGCUCCUCCAAUGCUGAUUGUUCACUGAUGUUUGCCAACACUUCCCCACAAAUGCAGCUAUUUGUGCCCUUAUGCAGCGGGCAGAAAGCAGUCACUCACUCUUCCCCUAACCUCCUGCAGACAAUUUCAUUGAGCUAAUCUAUGGCUGUUGACAAUAUCAGGUUACCCAGGCUCCAACCAAAAGCAGGUUGUGGCCCAUUUCUGAGAGAGACCAGCUAUCGUUCAUCACAGCUUUCAUUACAGCACUCCUGGCUUUUCCAAAGCCCUCCUCCCUUCUCCAUCCAUGGAGGACAGGAAUGCAGUUUCACCCGGAAACCACCUUUCCCUUUUAAGUGAGUGCAUUUCUGAGAGGCUUUGGUAUUUCCCAUCUCUUGAUACCACAUUUUUUCCACUGAAUCCGCAAGCAGUGCCAGGAGCUUCAGCGAGUGCCUAAAUCCAUCAGCACACCAGGAAGCACAGGAAGCCAAACACCGAAGCUUCCCAUCCCGUGUGCAGCCGAGGGGUCAGAGCCGCUCUGCCCUGCGGCGCGACGACCCAUUACCGUCCUCCCCUCGUUGCCAGGACAGGAAGGUGCUCUCAGCCCGGCUCCGGCGCCCCAAGCCCUCCCCGGGCCACCUCUUCCUCUGAAGGCAUGCCGCAGAUGCCGGGGCUGGUGGCCGGGUGGCACAAAGCCUGCAUUGUCCGCGCUCGCUGCCCAGAGAGGCGAUCUAAUUGUCUUCCCCUGCUCACAGCAACAAUUUGCUGGCAGCGAGGCUUGUGUCAUUAUAUAACUGGAGAUAGCCUGACUUGUAAACAGAUCUCCAGAGCAUGUCUGUCUUGCCUUAUUUUGGAUAAACAAGAAGUUCCAGGCUGGCUGAUGAUACCUUGGUGCUGUUUGCGAGGGCACAAAAAGCAGUGGCAGGGGUGAGCAAAGACUUUGCGGGGGCAGUUUCUCAGGGCAUCACCUUCUUGUUCACAUUGAUAGGAAGUCAGUCGGGCAAUUCCGGGAAGCCUGUGAGAUUCCGUGGCUCCUUUAGUACUGUUCGAUGUCUAUGCUUGUAUUUGUGAGUUUUCCUUUUCCCUCUUCCUAUUUCCUAGCACUAUUCUAUGCUACCUGGGAAGGGCAAAAGCUGUCCUCCUCUAUUCCCAUCCAUGAGGGAACAAUUCCAUGCAUGACUUCUAAGCCAGUGAGGGACUGCCUAUCACAGAGGAUGAUGUUCAGUCUGCUUCCUCCUCUCUUCUGGAGACAAACCCUGCCAGAGAAACCAAAACCUGUACCCUAUUGGCUAAACUUUCACCUAAGCAAAGGGAGAGAUACCCAAAGAUGUCUUCUGCCAGUGCUCAUUAGAACUGAAGCCAAUGUCACCACAUUGUGAUAGUCAUCAUUUACAGGUAUGUAUCGUAUGGUAUUUAUUGGUAUGGAUUGAUGUUUGGACAAGGUAAUCUUAUGGUCUUUCCAACCUUGUUCUAUGAUCUGUGCUGCUCACACCCCUAGGGAUGCUCUGCUCCUGAGUUUGUAGAGAAGAAAGUACUCUCCCUUUUUGGCUUUCACCUUUUAUGCUUGAGCACAUGAUUAUAUCAACAGAUGCGGAUUCUAGUCUGGAAAGCUGCUUGCCACUGACUGCAGGGGACAACUUAAUCUUCAUGUUGACUUUAUUGCUGGGUUUCCUAGAUGGCUGUUUUGCUGCCUGAGCCUGAAGUAGCAAGGGAGAAAGGGGAGUCAAAAGGAGAAAUGAAGUCCCUUGGCUGGAAUUUCAAUCCUCUCUGAUUUUUCUUUACAAAGACUGAACAGGCUUAGAGGAAAGGGCUGCUCAAGACUUGUCGGAGCCUUCCUGAAGGCAAGUGUCUGCAGUGCUACCCUUCCUGGAGGACUAAAUCUGAAUAUCCCAGCAUCAAAAACAGGCUAUUUACUUCUUUAAGGACAUCCCCUUGCUGCACCUUUCCUCUGCUUUCAAUAUCAAGUUUGCCUUUUUUUCUCUCUCUCUCUUCUGUUUGCUUUUCCUGGGUGUCUGAAGCUCUGGACACUGUGUCACUCCCACAGAAAGAGGGUAGAAAAAUACUGUAAGGUUGCAGCUCUGUUGUAGCUUGGCAGCUGCUGGCUCUGCGCGUCCAUCUUCCUCCGCUACUCUCUCCCCCACUGUUAGAUUCAAUUUCAUAAAUAAAUACCCCACGUAUUGACGUCAUUAUAGGCCUUGAGAAAUAAUACUCCUGCCGCUUUCUUUGCUAAGCAUGGGGAACGGAGGAGAGAGGGAGGAGGAACAGAAGCAACAACGUCUUGGAAGAUGAAGACUUAAUAUUCUCCUAAUCGCCUCCCUCCCUUUGUGGCUAUGACCCAGCUGUGAAGAAUACAAAGAUUACCAUUAUCAGCGUGCCCUUGUGGCUUGAGAAAGGAUAAUCGAGUAUCAAAAAUUCCUAUUUCAGACUAUUUUUUUCAGGAGAGAGGAUGAUGGGGAUGUACUCUGGAAGGGUACCCUCAACGGUCCCUGUGCUCCUGUCAUGAAAUUAAGAAAUUUGUAUCCAAAAUGAGCUCACAGUUCAUGUUUCUGUGUCUUAAGACACCAGUGAUGUUUCCAGCCAUGUCUCAUUGAAAAUCUCUUUCCCUCGCUUCAUUACUGGAGGUCAAGAGGUUGCUUCUUAGACUAAGCUGUGACAAGUCAAAGCCAAGACCACUGACUUUGUGCCUUUCUUUUCUCAGUUCUAACAUUCCACUGUGGUACUCCUCAAAACUGUGAAAUAAUUUGCAUUUUUAUUUGUUUAUUUUGCUAGAAGAAUGAAAGAUUCCCUUCUCCGUGUCCUUACUCUUUGCCAAGCAAGAGCCUAGCAGGUUAGAAACCUCAGCUUUCAGAUCAGUGUUGGCAGAUACCAGGAGAAGGAAGGGAAAGAGGAUCUUGCAGGGCUCUCUGCAAAAGCUGGCAUGAUUUUGAUGAGCAAGGCAUUCCUUGGGAUGCAUGCAGCUGAGAGUGCAGCAACAAAGGGGGGACAGAAAAGACACCAGAUGUGAAAGUUUCUUAUAGCUGAUUUGCUUUAUUGAUAAUGUAUUACAAGUGGGAAGUACAAUAGGUGCACAACCUGGGAAGUGUGCAUCUUGUCUAUUGCUGGGUGCAGACAAGUGACAUUGGUGAUCAGUAGCUUUCCCAGGCUUCCCCACAGACAUAUAAAAC
This is a long non-coding RNA of Lagopus muta (rock ptarmigan), 4844 nucleotides long. RefSeq lists it as uncharacterized. Lineage: Eukaryota; Metazoa; Chordata; Aves; Galliformes; Phasianidae. The transcript has 3 exons. The record is from RefSeq and is a predicted model, not a curated record.